Molecule: ribosomal RNA, 253 nt
Filed under: uncultured bacterium
Lineage: Bacteria
Description: partial 16S ribosomal RNA
Rfam family: Bacterial small subunit ribosomal RNA
Source: RNAcentral
UACGAAGGGGGCUAGCGUUGUUCGGAAUUACUGGGCGUAAAGCGCACGUAGGCGGAUAUUUAAGUCAGGGGUGAAAUCCCGCAGCUCAACUGCGGAACUGCCUUUGAUACUGGGUAUCUUGAGUAUGGAAGAGGUAAGUGGAAUUCCGAGUGUAGAGGUGAAAUUCGUAGAUAUUCGGAGGAACACCAGUGGCGAAGGCGGCCUACUGGUCCAUUACUGACGCUGAGGUGCGAAAGCGUGGGGAGUACACUGG